UUUUUUAUGGCUGAGUUAAGCUGCAGAUUUUUGAUCUGCCUACGGGAUAUUUAAUUUCCCUUUGCGUU
Molecule: transfer RNA, 68 nt
Filed under: Lissachatina fulica (giant African snail)
Lineage: Eukaryota; Metazoa; Mollusca; Gastropoda; Stylommatophora; Achatinidae
Description: tRNA-Lys
Source: RNAcentral